Molecule: ribosomal RNA, 429 nt
Filed under: Gemmatimonadota bacterium
Lineage: Bacteria; Pseudomonadati; Gemmatimonadota
Description: Gemmatimonadetes bacterium partial 16S ribosomal RNA
Rfam family: Bacterial small subunit ribosomal RNA
Source: RNAcentral
UAGGGAAUCUUCGGCAAUGGACGAAAGUCUGACCGAGCAACGCCGCGUGAGUGAAGAAGGUUUUAGGAUCGUAAAACUCUGUUGUUAGAGAAGAACAAGGACGUUAGUAACUGAACGUCCCCUGACGGUAUCUAACCAGAAAGCCACGGCUAACUACGUGCCAGCAGCCGCGGUAAUACUUAGGUGGCAAGCGUUGUCCGGAUUUAUUGGGCGUAAAGCGAGCGCAGGCGGUUUCUUAAGUCUGAUGUGAAAGCCCCCGGCUCAACCGGGGAGGGUCAUUGGAAACUGGGAGACUUGAGUGCAGAAGAGGAGAGUGGAAUUCCAUGUGUAGCGGUGAAAUGCGUAGAUAUAUGGAGGAACACCAGUGGCGAAGGCGGCUCUCUGGUCUGUAACUGACGCUGAGGCUCGAAAGCGUGGGGAGCAAACAGG